GACGAACGCUGGCGGCGUGCCUAAUACAUGCAAGUAGAACGCUGAAGGGGGAGCUUGCUUCUCUGGAUGAGUUGCGAACGGGUGAGUAACGCGUAGGUAACCUGCCUGGUAGCGGGGGAUAACUAUUGGAAGCGAUAGCUAAUACCGCAUAAGAGUAGAUGUCGCAUGACAUUUGCUUAAAAGGUGCAAUUGCAUCACUACCAGAUGGACCUGCGUUGUAUUAGCUAGUUGGUGAGGUAACGGCUCACCAAGGCAACGAUACAUAGCCGACCUGAGAGGGUGAUCGGCCACACUGGGACUGAGACACGGCCCAGACUCCUACGGGAGGCAGCAGUAGGGAAUCUUCGGCAAUGGACGGAAGUCUGACCGAGCAACGCCGCGUGAGUGAAGAAGGUUUUCGGAUCGUAAAGCUCUGUUGUAAGAGAAGAACGAGUGUGAGAGUGGAAAGUUCACACUGUGACGGUAUCUUACCAGAAAGGGACGGCUAACUACGUG
RNAcentral lists this ribosomal RNA (495 nucleotides) under uncultured bacterium. Its description in RNAcentral is "partial 16S ribosomal RNA". It matches the Rfam family "Bacterial small subunit ribosomal RNA", at positions 28 to 507 of the family's 1533-position model. The record is from RNAcentral.